CUUAAGUUAAAAUCAUCCACCCCAAACUAUAUGAUUUAUGGUGAACUUGGCAUUUUUCCUGUUCAACUAGAUAUCAAACUAAAAAUGAUUGCAUUUUGGACACGACUAUUAUCUGGAAAGGAUUCAAAACUGUCUUAUUUAUCUUAUCAAUUAUUAUACAAAUUGUCGGUCGACAAUCAUUUUGAAUCGCCAUGGUUAAAGUUUUUAAGAAACGUGUUUGAUGAUACUGGCUUUUCCUAUAUUUGGACAACUCAGCUUUUUCCUAGCUCAGAUUGGCUUAUCCCUUCGAUAAAGAUGCGCCUACAUGAUCAAUUUAGACAGGAAUGGCAUUCACUUAUGUUAAAUUCACCAAAAUCUAUAAAUUAUAGAUUAUUUAAGGAGACAUUUCAGUUUGAAUGUUUUUUUAAAUAUAUUGGAAGAUAAAGAUAUCUAUACGCUGUGCAGGUUUAGAACCACAAAUCAUAGACUUCCUAUAGAAACAGGACGGUGGAAUGGUAUAGAAAGGGAAAAUAGAAAAUGUUUGAAAUGUAAUAAUAACUGUAUUGGUGACGAAUAUCAUUAUAUUCUGGAAUGUAAAUUAUUUGAAAAUAACAGAAAAAAACUAAUUGAUAAAAAUUUGUGGCAAAGGCCAAAUAUUUUGAAAUUCAAAGAAAUAAUGAGUUGUACUAACAAGUUUAAAUUAGAAAAACUAUGUAGAUUUAUACGCCAAAUAAAUAAAUCAUUUGUUCUCU
Molecule: long non-coding RNA, 731 nt
Filed under: Mytilus galloprovincialis (Mediterranean mussel)
Lineage: Eukaryota; Metazoa; Mollusca; Bivalvia; Mytilida; Mytilidae
Source: RNAcentral